Molecule: long non-coding RNA, 1384 nt
Organism: Acanthopagrus latus (yellowfin seabream)
Lineage: Eukaryota; Metazoa; Chordata; Actinopteri; Spariformes; Sparidae
Exons: 4
Source: RefSeq, a predicted model, not a curated record
UGAGGGCUGGUGGUAGUGAGUAGGGUGAACAUUGGGAUUGGCCCUUAGUCUCACACAGAUAAUGCAGCUUUAUGGAUAUUAGUGAUAGUAGAGUUGGAACAAUGUUUUUUUUUAAAUGAUUUUUAAAGGAGCAUUCUGUAGCUUUUAAUCAGAAGAGCAAUAUUUUCAGUGACUGAACAAACUUGGUAAAUACACUCUCACUAAAUGAACAAACUGACUGAUACUGUUUCACUAUGUUUACAUGUGGGGGACCCUGCCACCUUUCUAGCUUCAAACAGCAUUGGACUGUAAAAAAUGUUAAGCUCAAUAAGUUAUCAUAACUUUAUCAAAUCAUGAAAUUUUAACUUAAUUUGAUGAGUUAUUGGUAUUCCAACUCAAGGUUUUAAGUCAGUUAAGUGAAAUGGAAAUUUUGAUGUGUCAACAUAACUUAACAGUAUGUGUUUUCGGUGUUAACCGGAUCUCUUAGAAACUGACCAUGACCGUGGUGUGACAGCAAUAUUAAUGCGCCGUAAAAAUAGCGCUUGUUAAAAUUUCAUCUUGAUCUGAUAAGGGACUAAUAAUUUUGAUAUAAUGAUUUUAAAACUUGAGCAGGCGCUCCACCCGGUUCCGGCUGCCUAUUAACAGAAGAAGAGGUACACUAGCUGAGCAGAUUGAGAAAGGUGAAAAGAGGAACGACGGAUGACUGUGGUUUGUUAGCAAGGAUCAAGUCUGGGGCAGUACGGUGCAUCAUUUGGACAAAGGGCAGCCAAAGCACAGGCGGGAAACGAAAUUGAACAAAGAAGUAAGAUUGUGGCAGAGUUUAGGAGGGUGACCACCUUGGACCUCCUGGAAUCUUUCCUCGAAGGACUUGAUGGUCUUGUCCCAAGACUGCUGGAGGCUUACAAAGCAGCAGCAAAGUAUGGAAAAAAGCAGUCACUUCAAAAUAUUUUGGACUGCCUUGUGAGAGAUGACACAAAUGAGAGAAGGAGGGCUGCUGCUCUGCUUGGUCUGCCAUUGUACAUAACAGUCCCAUGCUGACAAUCUGGAUGAAGCGAUGAAGGGGAUGCAGCUCGGUAUCCUCAUUGGCUAUGAAGGUGAACGGCGGGCCAGACCCAAUGAGAUCUUUAAUGUGGCAGACUAUUCAACGUUCACAACAUCAAAGAUGCGGCACAUGGCUUUGCAAUGCUUAUGGGCGUCAUCUACAGUGUUAAUCUGGAGUAUCCUAAUGCCAUGAAAUAUUCCUUCGAGUUUCUGCAGAGAGUGGUUAUGAGGAUCAAACCAGACAAGGCCUCAGCCUGAGUACACGGUUUGAGAAACCGAAUCUUGAGAUUUCAAUUGUUCUGUGUUCUGAGACAUUUUAAAAAAAAAAAAAAUAUUUUAUAACACACUUUAGGAUGAAGGAAGA